UGAAGGAGGAGCUUGCUCCUCUGGAUUAGUGGCGAACGGGUGAGUAACACGUGAGCAAUGUGCCCUUGACUCUGGAAUAAGCGCUGGAAACGGCGUCUAAUACCGGAUACGACCCUCGGAGGCAUCUCCUGUGGGUGGAAAGAACUUCGGUCAAGGAUCAGCUCACGGCCUAUCAGCUAGUUGGUGAGGUAAUGGCUCACCAAGGCGACGACGGGUAGCCGGCCUGAGAGGGUGACCGGCCACACUGGGACUGAGACACGGCCCAGACUCCUACGGGAGGCAGCAGUGGGGAAUAUUGCACAAUGGGCGCAAGCCUGAUGCAGCAACGCCGCGUGAGGGACGACGGCCUUCGGGUUGUAAACCUCUUUUAGCAGGGAAGAAGCGAAAGUGACGGUACCUGCAGAAAAAGCACCGGCUAACUACGUGCCAGCAGCCGCGGUAAUACGUAGGGUGCAAGCGUUGUCCGGAAUUAUUGGGCGUAAAGAGCUCGUAGGCGGUUUGUCACGUCUGCUGUGAAAUCCCGAGGCUCAACCUCGGGCUUGCAGUGGGUACGGGCAGACUAGAGUGCGGUAGGGGAGAUUGGAAUUCCUGGUGUAGCGGUGGAAUGCGCAGAUAUCAGG
RNAcentral lists this ribosomal RNA (620 nucleotides) under Agrococcus sp. 37(2013). RNAcentral's name for it is "bacterial SSU rRNA". It matches the Rfam family "Bacterial small subunit ribosomal RNA", at positions 68 to 701 of the family's 1533-position model. The record is from RNAcentral. Lineage: Bacteria; Bacillati; Actinomycetota; Actinomycetes; Micrococcales; Microbacteriaceae.